GCCUCCAGUGAACGGAUUUAUUUCCUGACUGUUUGUGAUCCUCAGUAGAGUGGCUUAUAUUGCAGAAUCUACUUGUUGAGAUCAAUUUGCUGUAUAUUCUCCCCAAGUGGAGUGGUUUAUUACAGAAUAUAUUUGUUUGAUCUGUCCUCCCUCAGUGGUUUGUUCCCAAGAGAGUAGCCGACAGUUUUCCCCAGUAGAGUUGCUU
This 205-nucleotide long non-coding RNA is filed under the name Lathyrus oleraceus (garden pea). RNAcentral describes it as "Pisum sativum (pea) long non-coding RNA (PSAT_LNC040371)". Lineage: Eukaryota; Viridiplantae; Streptophyta; Magnoliopsida; Fabales; Fabaceae. The record is from RNAcentral.